CAAGGAGGUUAACACAUAUUUAUUGCUGCUUUACGUCUUUAUUAAGGUGGCUAAAUUUAUUACUAUAGUAGUGUUCCCCCCUCUGUAAUAUUAUACGAAAAAUCCCUCUAACUAUCCUACUACUCGCUUUUCUUCUUACUAAGGGCUGAUUUUUAUGCUACUGUAGUCAUAUAAACUUACAAAUAUAAUUGUUUAACUAGAUUAUCAAGUUACAUAAUAAUCCCAACCGAUACACGUGCGUUAAAGUUAUAAAAUGAAGGUAACAAAUGCUAUUUAUGGUACUAGUUUGUCCAGUUUAGUCGCUACUACUACAUUAAUAAACGAGAAUUUAGGGAAUAUCAUUUGUUUAAUUGUUCACAUUAAUUUAGUAACUCGUAAAUCAAUGUCAGAAAACUCAUUACACUCGAAUUAAUUGGUAUAAAUGUUAAUAGAGCAAUAUUCAUUCACUUAAUGGAAGGUUAUUUAGAUGAUGAUGAUGCGGCAGACAUUUUUGAGUGCUUACUGUUAUCGUAACAAGCGGAAAAAGGGAGAGUUACGCUUAUAAAAUAUACAUAAUUACAUGGCAAACAGCUUUAAAAAGAAAUCCUAAUUAUCAUUAAUUACUUAAAGGAAGUGUGCUUUAAAAAAUUUGUUACCGUAGAAGCGCGCUGAUCACUAAGAUAAUUCGAGUCUUUUAAUACAUCAAUGCUGCCAUAACAAUAACCUUAUUGUUAUUAUUAUUAUAAUAGCAAACAAUAAGGAAAAGAUAAAUUAAUUCGACUAAAGAAAGCAAUAAUAAAUCUGUUUUAGAUUUUUCCUUAUACUAAUUGUUAAGUCACGUGUUUUUAAUAUCUGCUAGCUAAAGAAAAACGAGGAGAAACCUUCGAGAAAUUUGAUAGAUAGAUUAUUGCGGUUCAAAGGUCACGCGGCUGCGGUCAACAGAACUAUAUUAGCCGUUUUAAUUAACCGAAAUUGGCAAGUUAAUUGCGUAAAGAUAAUUGAUACCGAAAACAGACAGACAGACAGGCAGACGGAUUGCGCUUUUUUUGUAAUAGUAGUACCAGAUGCAUAAGGAAAUAAAAGAAGUUUAAGAGGAAAAAUAGGGGAAUAACAAUCGAUUGAAUGUUGGACGAAUGCCAAUUUUCAAUCGGGGUAUUUUUUCCCCUCUUUUUUCAAUUUAUGGCAUCGGCCACGUCACGUGACGCUGGAAAUAAUAAUAAUUUGUUUAAGAAUCACUUAUUAAGGGUAUUAGAUUCUCGUAAAUAUUCGCUAAAUUCCCCAAUUUAUCUUCGCUGUAGUAGAAUGAAACUAUUGAUUUACGAUAUUAGUCGAGGUGUGUUUACAUAUAUAUCAGAGUUUACUACGUAGGUAUUGUUAAACAAUGCGAUAUGUUUAAUAUUUAACAAAGUAAACAAGUCCCAUUCAAUUCCCUAAAGGUUAAAAGAAAACAAAAAGCUUGGAAACAACUUGGCAAACCUCCAAAUGUCGCCAAAUAAAAUGGUUGAUGUUACGUCAGUACUUGGCUUCUCACCUCCCUGUUGUAAACUAUGUUAAUGUUUUACGUGUUUUCUCCUUUGAUCUAUAAUUAUUUGACCCGGAAUAAUGUGUGGUUAGGUCUUUCUUACAAACAAUACGAGAAGAAGAAACGGGAGAUAAAUAAAAGUGGAAGAAACAGAUUAGUCUGAUAAACAAGAGAGGAAAAUGGAUUGCCUAUUGAAUAGAUAUGGAAGGAAAAAAAUCUAAAUGGAAAUAGAAGAAAAGGAGUAUAGUAUUUACCAGGCAGAUAGGAAAAAAUAAACAUUACUAAAUGGAUACAGGAGAAAGGAGCGCUAACAGGUGAAGGAGAUAAGCACGUUUUAGAAGUGUUUUUCCUAAAUAAGUAUAAGAUAAAAGUUUAGUAAAUUGCCAGAAAAUAAAAAAAGAUAUACAGUACUAUUAAAAGAAUUAAAUAAAAAUUUUAUUAAAGACGAAGGAGGAUUGUUUAACAAGCGGAAGAAGGGCAUAGCUAACUAAAUAAAGGUAAGAAAACAAGGAACAGUAUAGUCAACAGAUGGAAUAACAGGAAAUUUGACUAAUCAAAAUAAGAAGAAAAUGAAUGUAUUAAUGUUGAGUAAUAUUAGAAACGAAUAUUUGAGAAAUAAAAAGGAAUAUCCUGAUUAAAUAUAUGUGGGAGGAGAGGAUGUAGGCUGCUUUUACAAGCAAUUUGAAAAAAAAAGUAGAAAAAGCCGAGUAACCGAAGAAUUGAAAUAAAAAACAAGAGUAAAUUUUAAUCAUUAAUCAAAUUUUUAUGUAAUUUGAUUUAGUUUUUGUUGCUAGAAAUUAAAAAAGAGGAAAAAUCGAAGACGAUUUAUAUACAGCUUAUACAUACUUGUACUGUAUAAGAUAAUUAGAUUAUCUUAAUUCAAUAAAUUUUCCUUUCUUUAGAAUUAUUUAAUGAAUAGUUUAAUAACGAUUUGCUUCACUUAACCGAUUUACUAAAAUAUAAUUGGAAGGGAAAUUUUUUCAUCUCGUACUAUCCACGUAAAUAGAGAGUGAGAGGAUUUCUUUGAGUCGCAUGAAAAUCUUGUAUCCAGAAAGAAUAGGAUAAUAUAAAACGAUUGUUAGAAAUUAUUGACGCGGAUCGGAUUAAGGCUAUCUUCACUCUAUUUUACCGUAAAGGAAAUAUAUUUUUUGAUUCAAUUUCGUAGAGCAGAAAUUCUAUCCAAUUUAUUUUCCGUAAAUCUAAAUCCUCGUACUACAUAUUUAAAGGUCUUGUAUAAUUAAUGAAUCCGUCUCUUCGUUAAUCCAUUCGAUCCAUAAACAAACGAAAGCGUUAAUCCGCUAAUAUUUUCAUCUGUUUAUAAAUUCUCACUUUCCAAUUAUACAAAUACCUUCUACUAAUGCAAUAUUAUGCUUCUUUUCACAUUUAUACUAGAAUGUCUCGUUCUAUCUUCACAUUAUUCAUUUCAUCCCUACUGAAUUUUCUCUUUCUUUUCUAUUAU
Molecule: long non-coding RNA, 2960 nt
Filed under: Centruroides sculpturatus (bark scorpion)
Lineage: Eukaryota; Metazoa; Arthropoda; Arachnida; Scorpiones; Buthidae
Description: uncharacterized LOC111635340
Source: RNAcentral